AAACUAACAAGGAUUCCCCUAGUAACGGCGAGUGAAGCGGGAAGAGCUCAAAUUUGAAAUCUGGCAGUCUUCGAUUGUCCGAGUUGUAAUCUAUAGAGGCGUUUUCCGUGCCGGACCGUGUCCAAGUCUCCUGGAAAGGAGUAUCAAAGAGGGUGAUAAUCCCGUACUUAACACGACCACCGGUGCUCUGUGAUACGUCUUCUACGAGUCGAGUUGUUUGGGAAUGCAGCUCAAAAUGGGUGGUGAAUUCCAUCUAAAGCUAAAUAUUGGCGAGAGACCGAUAGCGAACAAGUACCGUGAGGGAAAGAUGAAAAGCACUUUGGAAAGAGAGUUAAACAGUACGUGAAAUUGUUGAAAGGGAAACGAUUGAAGUCAGUCGUGUUCUUUGGAUUCAGCCAGUUCUGCUGGUCUACUUCCUUGGAACGGGUCAACAUCAGUUUUGUCCGGUGGAUAAAGGUAGUAGGAAUGUGACUUCUCCGGAAGUGUUAUAGCCUAUUAUCACAUACACUGGGUGAGACUGAGGACUGCAGCUCGCCUUUAUGGCCGGCCUUCGGGCACGUUCGAGC
Molecule: ribosomal RNA, 566 nt
Filed under: Trichosporon asahii
Lineage: Eukaryota; Fungi; Basidiomycota; Tremellomycetes; Trichosporonales; Trichosporonaceae
Description: partial large subunit ribosomal RNA
Rfam family: Eukaryotic large subunit ribosomal RNA
Source: RNAcentral